UACGGAGGGGGCUAGCGUUGUUCGGAAUUACUGGGCGUAAAGCGCUCGUAGGCGGCUUUGUAAGUUAGAGGUGAAAGCCCGGAGCUUAACUCCGGAACUGCCUUUAAGACUGCAUCGCUAGAAUUGUGGAGAGGUAAGUGGAAUUCCGAGUGUAGAGGUGAAAUUCGUAGAUAUUCGGAAGAACACCAGUGGCGAAGGCGACUUACUGGACACAUAUUGACGCUGAGGUGCGAAAGCGUGGGGAGCAAACAGG
This 253-nucleotide ribosomal RNA is filed under the name uncultured bacterium. RNAcentral describes it as "partial 16S ribosomal RNA". It matches the Rfam family "Bacterial small subunit ribosomal RNA", at positions 524 to 776 of the family's 1533-position model. The record is from RNAcentral.